UACUGUUAUAGUGAACAGUAGUUAUUUCUGUGAAUGUGGCCUGGGGUUGUGGUGGAGGAAGACUCUUUUUUUUUUUUUUUUUUUUAAUUUAACAUUUUUACAAGUUUGUAUCUAGUUAGCUAAAACAGGUGCCUACCAGCCUUAAUUUCUCCAGUCUUUCUUGAGACCAAACCCAGAAAGUCCUUCAGCCUCCAUGAUGAUUGGUCUAAGUGAAUGAGAGUGUUUGCUGUUGAUGUGCACUUUUCUCUUUGGUCCUCUUUCUCUAGCAUGAUUUUACUGCUUCAGUCAUCACACUCUCCAAUCCGCUCUCAUGAUCUUCCUACUUUAUUCUCGGAGAACAUUUUGCAGAUGAGCCAGCUCCCUUGUGAAGCUGUAAGAACAUGGUACUUACAGGAGUAAGGCUCAUGAAGUGGAGAGAUGAGAAGACUUUCGGGACAGAUUGUGUGGAGGCUGUCAUUCUCCUCGUGACAUUGCUGUGGGAGAAGAAGGAGGCAUUCCAUGUUGGCUUCAGUGAAGAACUUCAGGGAGUUAAUUGAAGAUACAAUACAGUCAAGCAACAGGAGGAAAGAAACAACAAAUGGGAGACAUGAGGUUCCGAGGAUCAUGGUUCCAACACAGGACAGCAGAAAAGAGGAGUUGCAAAAUGACUGCUACAAAACAGACUUAAAGAGAAAACAUUCCAGUUUCACGUAGGAGGACAAAAGAAAAAACAAAACAACAUGAAAGAAGGAUGGAGCAAAUGCCCCAGAUGAAGCCUACACGACAUGAGUCAGAGAACUUUGGCCAGGAUGUCUGGGGAAAAAGUUUCCUCUUUCUUCUCUGGGAACUAUCUGGAGAGGGUUGUUUUAACGCUGGAUGUGAACAGCGACUCGUGUAGCCCCAGAAGCCUCUGACAGCCGCGUUGGAAUCAUAAGUUCUCAAAAUGAAGGUUGUGGUCUAGAAAGCAUAUUGUGAUUUGUACAAGAAGCACAUUCCCAUUUUACAAAAGUACAAAAGCACAUUUUGGACUUUUAACAAAUUCAACUGUUUUGUGUUCUGUGUGAGUAAAUUUUAGGUUGCCCAUCAUUGAAAACCAGUUUAAAAAAAAAUAAUGGGAGUAGAUAAUCCAGACAACAUUUUCUACCGUAUUUGUUGACUCCAGUUGUUGGAAAGUAAAAUUCUGGAGGAAGAGCUGGGAUAUCUCCAGGGGCUUAGUUUAACAUCAUCAAAGACUCUCCUGCUCCCCCUUUGCAUGUUACAGUAUCUGCUUUACCAAUCAGAGGGAAAUUUAUCAUGUAGGAUUUAAAGGAGAUAUUUAUGGCGUCCGUAAGCACAAUGACUUUGACUGGUAAGACGUCAGCUAUUCCCUUUAGGAGAUAAAAGGCCACAGCUGGUGAGGUAAUAGAACAGGAACUGUUUCAAUAUUUCAAAACAGAAGACCUUGUUGAAGAAGAGAGAUUUUAUAUGGCAUUUGCUUUUAUUUUUUUCCUUCUAUGAUGAACAGGUGUGGGAGUCAAUUCAAGAAGGCAGCUUAGAUGAUUGUGAGACAAGGGAGGGAGGUAAAUAUUUUUGAUGGUUGGGGAAGGACUGAGAUUUUCAAACUUCAAACCAAACAUGUAGUCCAAGCCUUUUCUACCUGUGUACACAAAGGAAAGAGGAAACUAAGUCAAUGUAAAAUAGGCAGUUGUUGUUUGGAAAAGUUAUGAAAUCCUCCUGGCUACACAAAACAGAAAGCCCAGCUAUGUGACAAGUGUUUGAUGUAAAUAUGCAAAUGCAGUUUUAAAUUCAUUAUACCUAAGGGAACAAGGUGUCUGGGUAAGGGGGGUUCUACUGUUUCUUAAGCUUACAAAGCAGGUCCUUGAAUAAUGUCAUUUAAGUUCAAUGUAAUUUCCUUAUAAUGUUGAUGAGAAAAAAAAAAUGGAUUCCUAGCUGAAGUCAUUGUGUGUGUGGACUUUGCAUGUCCUCCCCAUGUCUGGUUUCCUCCCAAAACCCAAAGCUGUGUCCGUUAGAUGAAUCAGUGUGUCUCACUGGUCCCAGCGUGAGUGAGUGUUGCUAUGUAUGAGUGGGCCCUGCAAUGGGAAUGGUGACCUGUCUGGGGCUGGUUCCAGCCUGGUACCCUGAGCUACCAGAAGUGGCUCUGGCCCCUUGAGCUUCUGAACUUGAAUAAGUGGGUAAAUUAUUAUCUUACUUGUUUUUGUUAACCUUUCUUAAGUGUAUGUGUAGCUCACCUUCCUUUCAAAGUUAUUUUGAUGUUUAUUUCAAUAUUAGAAGUGUUUGGGUCUUUCUUUAGAAGUUUGGUGAUUUUUUUUUUUGUGACCAAAAUAUGCUGUAGCAACUUAACUCUUGUUUAGAUCGGUUAGCUUAUAGCAAAGCUAUUUUCGUUAUGUGUUCUUUCACUUGAAGUUCCAGUUUCCAAGAACCUAUUGUCCAAGAUAAGUAAGGACUUACUGUACUUCUGGGCACACAAUGGGCUAAGCAUCUUAUAUUAUCAAAUGAGAUGAAAUAAAAUAUAAUGCUAAAAUGAUGUUAAAAAGUUAUCACAUUAUAACAAAUUAUAAGAAUUAUUAAAAUGACAGGAUAUAUUAAAGCACUGUAAAAAGUAAAGCUUAGUAGAUGCAUUAGAGGUUAUGAUUGGCAUUGCUAACAUUAUUAUUAUUAAAAUCCUUCAGUGCUGGGCACCACUUAUUUCUACCCUUAUAACCCCAUGGACCUGUACUGUAUCUUGUAAUAAAACCCUCAAUAAAUAUUUGAUACAUUGCUGAAUAAAAGGUAGGUUGACUUCUUAAAGUACCUGCAAAAUACCUCAUCCACAAGAGAAAAAGGCAAGAGAAUAACCUUGCUUCAUGAAGAAAGUAUCGAUCAUUCAGGCGUUAAAUUUUCCAUUUGUUCAUUUUUUUUUUUUUCCAGCAGAAACUCUUGGAGAAAUUGCAUAGCAUUAUUUUAAACAAUUCCCCUCAGAGGCCCAUUAGAUAGGCUUUUCUGCAGACAGGAUAGAUGUCUUUUACAGCUGGUCAGUGUUUAGUUCUCCCAAUACUUGACUGAAGAAAGAAAAUAACUGGGAUGUAAGAUAUCUGACCUAUAGAUUGCUCAUUCUCUGCAUGAGUCAAUCUUUGAAGUCGGAAGAUAAAAAUCACCAUUAAUCACAAAACUUUCUUACCAUCAUAAGGUCAGAUAUCCCAGGGCCCUUCCAAAAUUACCACGUGGACUGGCAUAGGGCGAGAUUGGCUCAGCUGUGGUCACUUUUAUGACACAGAGCUCCUUCCCUCUGGUUGAUGAUAUUGAAUGAGCAGGAAGGAAGAAAAGAAAUAAAAGUCAGCUAACCAUGGUUGAGUCAAUCCAGCCCACGGCAUUCAAAGGCUGAAGGGCCACCUGACACUCCAGAGGCUGCUGGAAAUGCAGGGCUGUUUCAUCCUGGGUAUUUUCCAGAGAGAAGUACUGAGAAGCUUAAAGUAUUUGAAUGGGAGGAGGAGAAGCAAACUACAGCUACUUCAGAGGAUAACACUAAACACCUAGUCCACUCUGUAUACACUAGAGGUGCUGUUAAUUUUCUUGUGGAGAAGGAACUGUCUUUAGAAAAAUAUCUCAAAAAGCCACUGAAGUAGAAAGUUUCAGCAUGCUGAAGAUGGAACUUGAGAAGAUAGAAAGUUCUGGGUCCUUAGUGGCAUGACUGAGUCGCUGGACCACUGUUGGAACCACCCUAUGUCUUAGUUUUUAAAUCUCUUUACUGUCUAAGACAUUUUUAGUGGAAGUAUUUAUCUCUGGCAUCCAAUAAGACCUUUAAGGAUUUGCAGUUUUAUCUAUGUGUUUGUUUAUUGUCUGCUCCACCCUACUUGAUUGUGAUCACCAUGACAUCAAUGACUGUGCAUCUUUUGUUCACUCAGGAAUAUCCAGUGCCUGCCACGCAGAGUGUGCUGCAUGUACAUGCUCACUUGAUAUCUGUUGUAGCAAAGAGUGAAAGAGAGAAGGAAUAAAUGCUUUCUCCCAUGAUGAGGGGACAUGGGGUCCAGACAAGCUGGACCAUUAUCCCAGGCCCAGCGCUCUGCUUUAUUUUUUUUUUUCCAGUACAGCAUCACAUUCAGUUACAACAGAGUGAAAUCUCCUAAGAACACGGCUGAUUAUUUCUUGAUUGCAAAAAGGACUCACUAACCCUCCGAUCUCCUGUAACGCAAGUCAAUGCUCUUCUAAUCUCCUUUUAGACAGCACCUGUACUUGUCAGUCAACGCAUGGUAGUCUGGGCUAGCCAAGUGAAUCCUUAACUAAACUGAAGUGGUGCUGAUCAUUCAGCCUUCAGAAUUGAAAAAAUCACAGCAUUGCUGAAGGAAAAGGCAUUUUUCAGGUAGAGAGGCAUAAGUCUUGGGCCAGGAAGCUUCAGUAAGAAGACAAUAAUUUCAUAGAAAUGCAUUAGCUUGGGGAGUCCAACUGCUGUUCUUGCACCUAAGAAAUUCAGAGGAGAGCUCUUUGCUUCCUUGCUCAUUCCAGUGGUUAGGAGUCAGGCCUUGUCCCAGAAUGUUCAGGUUGAUGCUUACCAUUUAAGCCUUAAGUUAAUCCGUUGAAGCUCCAGGCCUUUUAUGGGAUUCACAAGAAUAAACAGCAUUUAACUAUAGAUUCUCAAAGGUCAAAUCUUCAACCUAAAUCUGAGGAUUCAAAGCAUUGUUCACUCUAAUAAUUCUGCUAGUUCCCAACUUCACACAAACCAUUUAUUUCAGAAUGUAAACCUUGAAUAAUCUUUUCUUACUUGUAGUUUUGUGGUCAUUUAGAAAACAGCAAUACUCUAUUUUAAUUGGAACUAAGUGACAAAAAUAAGCCACUUCAUUAGUUUUCUAGAUAACGGUAAAAUGUAAGAACAAAAAGCCACUUCUUUUUCCACGUGGUAUUUUACAGUGACUUUUUUUUUUCUUUUUACUGCAUUUUAAAAUUCUACUGGAGGCAUUUCUCGGAAACUUUCUCUUACUUGUUAAUGAAUCAUCCCCUUUGAGAAUCAGCAGGUGAUUUCAGGAGCCCAGGUGUGAAUAAUUGAUUUAAGGUCGACCUUGUGGGUGGAGCCAAUGUUUACCAAGUGCAUUCAUUCGACAAACAAUUGAUGAACACCAAAUUAGAGUUCAAUUCCAGAUAACAAAAACCAGUUGAACUAAUUUCAUCAGAAAGCUACUUAAUAGGGGUAAUUAGGUGCUUACAAAAUAGAAGGGCUGGAAGCCCAGGAUCUAGGCUGACACCCAUGUAGCUAGACCCUGGAAACUGGGAUUCCAGCUGCACAGAACAGCCAAGUGUGUUCAUGACUGUGCUUGUUUGUCAGCAGGAGCAUGGCCCUGCCUUGUGAUACUGUGUUUUUCAGCUCUCACGUGGCUGAGUCUGUUUGGAGAAGUUGGUUCAAGAUGCAGCUUGACUCUCAGGGAGUCUGAAUAACUACCCUUAAUAUUGUUAGCUUUCUGGUCUCCAGCACACAGUAUGAUUUUCUGGAAGAAGGAUUUAAUGUAGUUAAAUAUGCCAACGUGUAAUAUCUGAUGUACAUUUCUACCCUGCUUGGGAUACAAAAUAAAUAAAAGCCAGUUUCUGUCUGUAAGGAGUGUACAGUUUAGUAAGAAGACAGACUCCUGAACAAAGAUGUAUACUUCAAUGUUGCCAGCCCAGGAUUAGAGAUGGGUAUUAAGAGGACCUCUGAUGAGUGAUAUUUUGCAUCUGGUGCAGGACAGUUCCCUAGGUGGCCUUGGACCAAACCAGUCCUCCCGCUUUCUCACUUGUAGUUUUAAGAAUAACUAGAAUGUGCUGGGAAUGCAACAUCCCGAGAUAAGGCCUAGGCUCUGUUCCAGUCCCCGCUAGAAACAGGAUGUCCUUCAGCACAUUAAUCCAGCAGGUCAUGUUAUCCCUGGAGUAGAAAACCCAGAGACGGCUACUUUCCAGGGUCCUGCAUCUGGGGUGCAAGUGAGGCACACGCAGAUGAGACUCCACCUGCCCUGGGCAGCUUUCCUGAGCCUUGAGAAACCAGCUCACCAUGAAUCCAAGGUGUCUGCUGUUCCUUGCCACCAUUUCAUGGAACCUGUUGUAUGUGUGAGUAUUCUCUCUUACCGGAGCAAGUAGUCAAAGUGCAGCCCAAGAUGCAGUGGGCUGAAGUAACCAGUGCAUAGUGAGCCUGCUUCUCACUGGGAUUUGAUUAAUCAUUUGAAAAUGCAUUAUUCUAAGUGCUUAACUUUAAAAGGGAAAAUAUUCUACUAUGAACGUGGACUCCCUAAAACAACAGAUUAAGGGAAGGCUGAAAGUGAUGACCCCUUUAAUUCCUGCUUUCCCAAGGAGACCCUCUGAUUCCCUGUGUGGUCCUUCCAUUUCCCCUUCAGGAGGCUGAAUGCCAUCGUGUCCACUUAUUUAGGCAAAGGAGAUGAAUGGGUUGCUUGGCUGCGGUUAGUCAUCAGGCCACUGGCAGAGUAGACUGGCACACGGAAAUCCUGAAGCUGAAUUCACUGUUACCUUUUGAGUCACUGUUACCCACCCACCCCAGACUUCCUCCCACCCCUAGUCUGAACCUGGAUCCUAUUCAAAGAUGUUUUCCCAUCUCUUUCCACUUACCUUCUGAAUUCAUUUUGGAGGAAUGUACCAAGAUCCUUUGAAUCCUCCAGGAAUGUUGAACUCAGUGAAAAGUGAUGUGGUUAAGAAAGCAAAUAAUAUGCUGAAAGAUGUUCAUUGGAAGUGGCUAGGGACAUCAAAGAAAUUGAUGAAUCUGCAUUUCAAAAAGCCAGCAGGGGGUAACAUUUCAGCUUACCUCAUAUUUCUCCUGCUUCUAAAUUGGCUAUUUACUGCCCAUGAAGUUUCUUCCUUCCCAUCAGGGCAGAAUACUAAUAUAGUUAGCCCCAGGAAAGAGAUGUCUGGAAAUGGUAUUGUCUUCUUAAAUCAAAGCAGCUGAAAGAAAUUUGUCUCUUUUAUUAACAAUGAAAUAUAGUUGCUAUCAAUGAGCAUCUACUGUAUUUCAGGCACUGUACUUAAACACUCUACAUGCAUUAUGCCAUUUAAUCCUCAAUCGUAUUGCUGAGAUCGAUAAUAUCAUUGACCCUAUUGUAUAGUUUGGGAAAAGGAGGGUAGCGAGAUUAGGAAAAUCGCCCAACUUGGCAACUGCUGGAGCAAGGAUUUGAGCUCUGUUGACCAUAUUGAUCACUAUAUGAUGUUGUCUCAUUGCCUUUAAACAACACUAGGGUUGGGUUAGGGUAGCAGAGGAUGUAUAUAAUAACACACACUGUUUAGUGAGAGUAAUUUUCCAGAACAAGCAAGAAAGGAGAAAUGCUUCAAUAAUCUUCUGAAGUUUAGUUUCCAUGGACAGUUAUGGAUUGCUAAGAAAUUGUCAAUAAAGGUAAGGGCCACGGAAGAAGCAGAAAUAAGCUGCACAGGCCAGGCACUGUGCCAUGUCAGUGGCAGAGCCACACCGUCACCUUCAUCAGAGCCCAAGGUCUGAAGACACUGAAAAGAAGAUCUGGCCACCAAAUGCCCUCAACAAGGGGUUGUCCAGACCCUGCUUCAACAUUGUCAGCAGCAGGGCAUGCUCCACCUCAGCAGACAGCCACUUUUGUUUUCAAGUAACUCUCUAAUUGCAAAAAAUGUACUUUGUAUUCAUCCAAAUCGGUGUCCAGGUAGCAUUCACAAGUAUUUGGGAGGCAGAGGCAGGAGGAUUCCUAGAGGACAGGAGUUCGUAUCCUCUGAAAACAUGUAGAAUAAAUCCAACUCCUUUCCCAUAUGAUAGUUCUUUGGAUAUUCAAAGCCCUUCCCCACACACCCAGCUGGCUUCUUAACCAUCCUUCAUACUGUGUGGAUUUGAACCAUUCUCCAUUGCAGUCUUUCUCCUUUAGGCACAUUAUAGUUUUGCGAAAAGUAUUUUGUUAGGUGAAGUACACAAAAUUAAAUAAGGCAUGUUUAGUGUCUUUAAGUAUCUCUUAAAGACAAUUGUAUGAGAUUAACUAUUGUCAAAAGCCCCCUUAAAAACUCUUCCGAGGUUCUGAGCAUGGGUGGGUCAUGUCUGUAAUCCCCACACUUCGGGAGGCCAAGGCAGGAGGAUCAUUUGAGGCCAGGAGUUUGAGACCAGCCUGGGCAAUAUAGUGAGACCCCAUCUCUACCAAUAAAUUAAUAAAAAUUAAAUUAAAAAACUACACCUAGAUAUAGACCAUUUGAAGAGUUCAGAGUGGAACUAUGAUGUCCCUACCUUGGACAGUAUACCUCCUUUAAGGAGACCUAAGUUUACAUUAGCAUUUGGAGUUGUGUUGAGUCAACUAAGCCUCUAAGUGUUUUUCACACUGACAGCUGCUAAGCCACAAACCAAGGGCAAUCACUACAGAGACAUGGAAUAAGAAAGAAUGAGUGUUUUCCAGGCUUUCUCUCCCAUUUAGUGAUUUGUGUUCGCACUACCUAUUCAUUCAUUACUUUACUUACUUGCUCAUCCCACAAACAUUUACUGAAUACUUAAGUCUGUCUAAUUAUGCAUAACAUACUUGGGUGGCCUGAAUGGGAAAGAAAUAUCAGACAUUACUUCCUGCCUUUAAAGAGACCUAUAAUUUAGCUAGGGAGGGAAAAAGAAAAAUAACUACAAAACGAAGUAACCUCUCAAAGCAUCACAUAAUGGAAAAAACACAGAAUUGAAUCUGGAACCUGGGUUAUAGAAAAGAGCUUUUUUUUUUUUUUUUUUUUUUGAGCUAGGAUCUUGUCUAUCACCCAGGUUGGAGUGCAAGAUCACAACUCUCUGUAGCCUUGACAUCCUGGGCUUAAGGCAAUCCUCCCACCUCAGCCUCUGGAGUAGCUAAGACUACAGGCACACACCAUCACAUCCAGCUAAUUUUUCUAGUUUUGGUAAAGAUGAGGUUUUACCAUGUUGCCCAGGCUAGUCUCAUACUCCUGUGUUCAAGCGAUCUGCCUGCCUGGGCCUCCCGAAGUGCUCUGAUUACAGGUGUGAGCCACUGUGUCUGACCUAGACAAGAGCACUGACUAAAGAUAAUCACAUUUACUCUCUAGAUCUCAGUUAUCUCAUUUAAAUAAUGAGACACCUGGACUUUUGGGGUUCUUUCUAUUUCUAAGGAUCUGUGCUUCCAAGUGCAAGAUAACUGUAAGCUUCUUGAGGGCAGGGAUCAUACUUCAUGUACAACUGAAUUUCCCAUUAAAUUUGUUACAGUUUUAACUCAUAAUAUCACACAAUACAUAUUUAUUGAAUGGUCUAAUGAAUUCAGAUUAAAUUGGCUUCAGCUUGGGAUACAAAAUGGCUCCCCAGGGCAAUGGGAAAAUAGGCCUGGGAAUUUCUUUCUUAUUUAUUUAUUUUUUUAUUUUUUUGAGACAGGGUCUCACUCUGCCACCCAGGCUGGACUGCAGUGGUGCCAUCAUAGCUCACCACAUCCUCAACCUCCUGGGUUCAAACACUCCUCUCGCCUCAGCCCCCCAAGUGGUGGAACCACAGGUGUGUGCCACCAUGGGUGGCUAAUUUUUAAAUUUUUUGUAGAGACAGGGUCUUACUUAGUUGCCCAAGCUGGUCUUGAACUCCUGUCCUCUAGGAAUCCUCCUGCCUCUGCCUCCCAAAGAGCUGGGACUACAGGCAUGAGCCACUGCGCCCUGCUGGAAUUCUCACCCCGACUGUCACUGGGUGAUAUCAUGAAGUGAUGGUCCAAGGAGAGGUAUAUGCAGUCUUGAUGCUCAAGAACAGAGAUGACUCAUAUAUUCUCACAUAUGCCAUAAUUAGUGGAUGAGAUCCGAAUUACGAGCUGGCUACAUACUGCCUCCUAUUCCUCCUCGAGUUUCCUGCUCUCUCCUUCUUUAGGUAUUUCCAGCUCUGAAAAGCCUGUUUUACUUCAUUCUCUUACCAAAGAGUUUGGUGACACAAAAUGAAAAGUUUGAUGGACAAUCUGGAAGAGUCCCACUAAGCAACACAAGAAAUACGCUCUCACAAAGACCUAUUCAUGUUUUCCAUGUUUCAAAUAUGACUGAACCUGACAUAUAUAAGAACGCAAAAGAUUCUUCAAAAUCAAACUGUGUCCGGAAUUGGUGGGUUCUUGGUCUCACUGACUUCAAGAAUGAAGCCACGGACCCUGGCGGUGAGUGUUACAGCUCUUAAGGUGGCGUUUCUGGAGUCUGUCCCUUCUGAUGUUCAGAUGUGUUCGGAGUUUCUUCCUUCUGGUGGGUUCGUGGUCUCGCUGGCUCAGGAGUGAAGCUGCAGAUCUUCACGGUUGCUAGUAACACAAUAAUAAAGCUGCUUUAUUUUCCAGUGAAGAUGUAUGUGAUAGGGAGUGGAGGAAGAAAAAGGCCAGAAAAUUCCAUAGUUAGCAAAUAUACCUUUCUUACUUAAAAUUCUUUUUCCAAUGUGAGCCUUCUAAAGAGUUACUGAGAAAUUAGGUGAGCUCACCUCAUUUAAUGCAAUAGAUAUGUUUCUGAAAAAUAAGCAAUACAUAGGACAUUGGCCAAUUAAGAAUUCUGAUGAAGAAGAAUUUUCACAUCCGAAAGAGUAAAAAUGAAAAACGGUACAAAUGUAGUGGCUUUUAAAUUUCAAAACAAAUUAUUUUGAUAAGAUAAAUAUUCCUCUCAUAAAGUGAAAAUGGAAGAGACUGCUUGCUGGGUGUUCGUCAAAAUGGAGUUAGAUGGUCUGUCCCAGACUCCCCUGUUGUUAGUUCUGAGAACAGAAGUAAUGGUGCUUCUUCAGGACUGGCUCAUAGAAACCUGCCGUGUUCAGCCCCCACAAUCCUCUCCCUUCUGCUGGCUGGAAACAAAUGACAACGAAGCCUCACGUCUUGGAGAAACCACACUGCUGAGGAACUCAAGUCCUAGAAGAACCAUUUGAAGAGACCCAUCUCACUAAAGAAAAUCACACAAGCAAGAAGUAAACUUCAUUGUAUCUAUGUAUUUAAUUGUCAUAACAGUCUACCUUAACUGAUACAGCAAAAAUUCGCUCCUUUUCUGGACACCCAGUUUCAAAAUCUCAGUGUCAUUUUUUACUUCUCUCUUUUCAGGUUGUUUAAUAUAAUAAAAUUUGUGUGUGUGUGUGUGUGUGUGUGACAAGGUCUUGCUCUGUUGCCCAGGCUGGAGUGCAAUGGCACGCUCCCAGCCCACUACAGCCUUGACCUCCAAGCUCAAGUGUUCCUCCCACCUCAGCCUCCAGAGUAACUGGGACUACAGGCAUGGGCCACCACACCCGGCUAAUUUUUGUACUUUUUGUAGAGACAGGGUUUCACCAUGUUGCCCAGGCUGGUCUUGAACCCCUGGGCUCAAGCGAUCUGCCCAUCUCCACCUCCCAAAAUUCUAGGAUUACAGGCGUGAGCCACUACACCCAACCAUUUUAUUUUUAAAAGUUUUCUUUGCAAUAUUGCUCACAUUGUUUCCUUCCUUUUUAUUCUUAUUGUCACUCCCAAGUUCAGGCUUUUACCUCUUUUAUUUGAAGUAUUAAAGUAUACUUCUAAGUCAUUUCUGUGGCUUAAAUUUAUUUAAUCCACUCCAUCCUGCAUCCUACCAACACAAUAACAUUGUUUCAUCAUUUCAAAUUGAAAUCGAAACUCUCCAAAGCUUUCCUACUGCUGAAUGGAUAAAAACACAAAAUCCUCAAUAGAGAAUUCACUUUCUGGAGCCAACUUACCUUUCCAAAUAUUUCCCAUUAUUCCCUAAGAGAAUCCUCCUGACAUACUCACUGUUUUUCAUAUACACUAGACCUUUUCUCAACCACCUAUUUGUCCACACAUUUUUCUUCCAGCUAGAAUAUUAUUUUCCCUUUCUCACUUCUGAAAGUCUUACCUGUCAUUCAUGGUUCAUCUCAAGCUCAAUCUUCUCCUUGAAACCUUUAAGCAUACCCUCCUGGAAAGUUAUCUCCCUCACCUCGAACCACCCCCCCAGCCCCUGCCAGAAUCUCCUAUAGGGCUGAUUGUUUAUCCUGCUUAUUAUAUAUUUAUAAAACACUCCACUGAGUUAUUAAUUACCUUUUCCUUGACUGUGAAAACAUGACUCUGGCUUCAAGGUAGGACCAUUUUUUCUCUAACACUGUGUCUCAUACACUUCAGCACAAGCUCUUAGUGGCCUGUGCAUUCAACUCCCAUGCAUAGCCACUUCCUCCAGGCAAACCCCACAGCCAGCAUCCAAAUUUUAAAAGGGGUUCUGUCAUCAACCCAAAGUUUCUUCUCUCUCAAGGAACCUAGAUUUAGAAGUUGAGUCUAGGCCACCUGUCUAAGAUACAGUAGUUAAUUUAACAUAUUUUAUUGCUCUCAACAUCACAGAGAAAGAGCCUUACUGCAGAUCUCAUUCUUUCCUUCAAAGCCAGUUUGCCCAUUCCUCUUCAGAAACCUUUAAGAGUGGUUAUUGGGAGAGAUGAUAAGACUCCAUCUGCUUAAGGAGUCCCUCUAACCCAGAAUAGUAGAUGUAAACACCUGACAUGUUGUUAUAGAGUGAAUGUUUGUGUUCCCCUCCAAUCCAUAUGUUGAAAUUCCAAGCCCCAAUGUGUUCGCAUUGGGAGGUGAGGCCUUUGGGAGGUAAAUAGAUCAUGAAGGUGAAGUCUUCAUGAAUGGAUUAGUGUCCUUAUAAAAGAGACCCCAGAGAGCUCUCUCAUCCUGUUUCUGCCAUGUGAGGACACAGCAAGAAGUUGGUCAUCUGCAACCUGAAGUGGCUCCUCCCCAGAAACUGAAUCUGCUGGGGUCUUAAUGGUGGGCUUCCCAGCCUCCAGAAUUAUGAGUGUAAAUGUUUGUUGUUUAAGCUACCCAGUCUAGGGUAGUUUGCUAUACUACCCCAAACUGACUAAGAUACAUAUGUUUGUCAUCCACUCAGUUGUUUUCCUAAAAUAAAUGAAGUCAGCUCCAAAGAUGAAUUUUCAUCUCUUUUUGUAGAGAUGGGUGCUAUUAUGCUUUUUAAUGAACGUUUAUUCACAAAUAAAAACAAAACAUACCUCUCACAUCCUCAGAGCAAAUACUUACAGUAACAUACAUUGAUGCUCACAAGCUCAUUACAUUUCAUGUUUACUAUUCAUUGAUAACAUUACAUUUAUUAUUAUCACAUAAACCAUACCUCCUGUUUAUGAAGCACUUAUGGUGUUUUAGUCAAUGUUAUGGUACCUGCUAUAUAUGGUCUCUAAUUUUAUUUUAACUUCCUAUAGUAAACAAUAUUAGGUGCUAACUCAAUAGUCAUUUUCUAACCUGAUUUUUCCUUGCAAACAGAACCCCAAAUUUGUUUGGAGAGAAAUGUGUCCAAAUCCAAACAAAGCAUCACCAUUUCUUUGAACCAUCAUAAGGAUCUAAUCAUUUUUUUUGUUUUCCUAGCCUCCCUCUAGCCAGAGAUACUGGGUAACACAGUUCUGGCUGAGAAGACAAGAGAAGAAAUCUGCUAAGCAUUUCUGGAAAAAGUUUUGAUUUGCUGAUGAAAGGGAACAGACAUACUGGUUGCCUUCCUUUUCCCUUUCAGCUGCCUAGUCGCCAUUUUGCAAUGUGAAACAACAUCAUUAAGGAAAGAUCAAAACAAUUGCAGAGAUGUCAACCAUCAUGCCUUUGAAUUCAUGCUCACAGUUGUCUGCCUCCAGAUUCAGUUAUAUUUGAGGUACUCUUUGAGUUAAGAUCCUUCUCAUUUUAUACCACUUGCAGCUGAACACACUCCCCACUAAUUUACCUUGUAAGGUGAAUUUCACUUAAAGGAAGAACACAUAAGUCAGGGAAUGACACAUAAUAGUAAAUGCAGGGUUUUUUUUUCUAUUUAUGAUAUAGAUUUAUACAACUGCUAUGUUCUUGACAUUGUACCAAUUUCAAGGUACAAAUAAGACAUAAUCCCUAAAAGCAUGGGUUACAAAAUCUGGGUUCAGCAUAGGGUUUCAUGAUAAACAAACAAACACAAAUUGUUUUUUAUUGUAUUUCCUUCUUCUUCACAUCUUGUGAAUCUAAGAAAAAUAUCAGAAUGUUCGUUUCAGCUCAAUUUUUGAAGAGUACAAUCUCUAAGUAAAAAGAAACUGUAAAUGUUUAUAAAUGUAACUAGAGCCUAGUAGAAAAUAAAGCCAUGCAAGUGUGUUUAGGUCCUAAUCUUAUUAACCAGAUUAGUGACACACAGUCUGCCCAAAGUUAAUGAAAGCAGUGAGGUUCUUUGACUUCAGUAGAUACACACCUGAACCACAGAGAUAAACUUGCUUCAAACCUGUGCGAUAUGUUUUUCUAAGCAUAAAAUUGAGCAUGAUAGCUCCAAUUUCAGUCUCAGUUUCAAAGCUUCCCUUUCCCGAAUAAGAGGCAAACUGUCACAUUAAAUUUAGCGAAUUAAAAUCAGUUAACUUGAAAAGCUCUUGGCCCCAAUGCAGAGAAAAUUGUUUGCAUAAUAAUAACUUAUUUCCUUUUUUAAAAGGCGGACUUCUGCCUGAAUGCUUCUAUAAACUUUUAAGAAAAUGGGAUUCUCAAAUCUCAAGCGUAUUGGGUUGCAGUUGGCACUUGAAGCUGGGGACAUGCAGAGCUGGCUAAUGUCAGCAGCUGUAGGACUGUCAAGAAAAAUAGGUGGAAGGGACACUUUUAUUAUAAGUAGACUUGCAAGGCAUUCCAACUUUCAGCUGCUCAACCCAGUAUACCAAACACCUCUGACUACCUCAAGUGUGGCCUUGCUGAGUGCUUCCAUAUUUAGGGGUUAUUAGACAGGACUGAAGCAAGUGACCUCUAAUGAGGAAGCAAUCAGGGCAGGCUCUGACCCUCCUCAGAGGUACUGUAAUGAACUGGCCUUGGAAGGUCUUUGAUGCUGCCUUUGCAUACUGUAUAUGAGCUUUCUGCUCAGUCAUUUCCUCUGCGCUCUGGUAGCACAGCAUGAAGCCUGCUAUUAGAAAAAAGGUUUAUUGCUACCUUGCAAACAUUUAUUGGGUAAUAUCUAAAACAUGGUGUCAAGUUAUAGUAAUGCGCUGUUCUGGGAAACUUUUUGAGAAUUUUAGUGUUUCAGAAGAUGGUCCUUUGAGAAUUCUUCUGUUUCAGAAAUGAAAAGUGGUAGAUAUAUACGUGUGUGUGUAUAAUAUGCUCAUGUAUCCUCUGAUUACUUGCCAGAGAUGUACCAUUUUUCUUUCAAGGGAAACAUCUAUUCCUAAGAUAGAUUAUUCUUGAAAUUUUCAAAGAGUAUGCCUCAGAGAACAAAUAUACAAAUUUACCAUUUGUCUGCAGAUAUUAUUUGCCUGUGUUUAUGCUAGGUCACUGACACCACACACAUUUUAAUCCCCAAGGGAAUUUAUUUGGUGGUGUUAUCUACUCAACCAAGCUGAAGCUUAUCUAGUUCACAAGAAAAUAGUCAAUAUGAGCUCCAUGCAGACUUAUGCUGUUAAUGCAGAAGAGGGAAAGAGAAUUUACCUUUAACUGUUAUGAUGAAAAUGUGUACAAUGACACUUAACUAUGGCAUGCAAAUCCUCUUUUCCUCCCCCACAGGUAUCUGGAAAGUACCUUAUACAGCUAGGUGCUUAGAAAAUGUUUAUUGAUUAAAUAGAUGAUGAUUAACAGAUUAAUAAAAGGUGAAAGUUACUAUCUAUGCAUUUUUUUCCAGUUUGAUGUUCAAAAACUUACCAAUGGAUGGGGAGUUGCUUUUCAUAAACAAUUUAUAAAGCACUGUCCUGGAUGAAAUUGUAAAAAGGACGUGGUGUCAAAGAUGACUCAGUGGAGUUGAGGUGAAAAAUGUGUAAUGAGCAAAUCAUGGUAAUUGGGAUAUCCAUCACCUCAAACCCUUAUCAUGUCUUUGUGUUGAGGACAUUUCAAAUCUUCCCUUCCAGCUAUUUUGAAAUAUACAACAAAUUAUUGUUAAGUGUAGCCACCCUAGUGUGCUACUGUACACUAGGACUUACUUAUUCCUUCUAUCUAACUGUAUUUUUGAACCCAUGAACCAACAUCUCUUUGAUUUCCAGCCUGGGCUUUGGUGUCCCUUUUUUUGUGUGUUUUCAUAGGGCCCUAUAUUUAUAUUAUUUGGGCUCAACACAUUGCAAAACUGCAGAGGAGUUUACUAUUAUGCACAUUAUUAUUCUAUAUUCUGUCACUCUAAGAAACAAUAAGUGACCAUCUGAAGAGACCAUCUUCUAGCACCAAAAUAUUUAAAGAUGAUUAAGAAUAAGACAAGGGUCUCCUUAUUUACAAAAUGACAUAAUUGAAAGGACUAGAUUAUUAGCAACCCCUCUGGAAAAGGAUUACUCUUUUGGAUUUUAAUUACAUAACUAAUAUAUCAACUGAAGUGCUAUGCCCUGACGUGUGCUCCCCUCAGCUUCACGAUCCAUAUGUUGAAACCCAACCCCUUAAUGUGAUGGCAUUUGGAGAUGGGGCUUUGGAGAUAUUAGUUAGGUUUAGAUAAGGUCAUGAGAAUGGGGCUCUUAUGAUGAGAUGAGCACCUUCAUAAAAAGAGACACGAGGUAUUUCUCUUUUCUCUCUUCUCUCUCUCCCUCUUUCCCUCCCUCCCUCUCUCCUCCUUCUCUGUCUUCCUCCUUUAUGUGAGGACAUAGCCAGAAGGCAGCUGUGUCUGCAAGCCAGGAAGAAAGCCCUCACCAGGAAUCAACUAUAUCAGCACCUUGAUCUUGAACUUCUAUCCUUAGAACAGAGAGAAAAUGAAUUUCUAUUCUUGAAGCCACCCAGCCUACGGUAUUUUGUUAUGGCAGUCAAGCUGAAUAAGAUAUAUAUCUACACUGAGACCAUUAAAAGUAGUUCCUGAUUGGCAGAAAGGUUGUAUAUAUAAAUGGCUCAUUGAAAGUUCUCACUGCAUGGAUGAGAAAUCUCAGAUUGAGGUUCUUAAAUUUUGAAAAAUAGAAAUAAAGGAAUUAACGCAACAGUCUUCUAAUCUUUCUGCCUUCAGUUUUUGCUCCCUUUGACUAUUCUCUGUACACUGCAUCCAGAGGUUAUAUUUUGACAGGGAAAUUCAAAUGAUGUAUAUUAUUUUUCUACUCAAAAUCUCCCCACUGGCACCCUAUUGUCCUAAAGCAUAAACUGCUAUUGCAGUCAAUUCACCUGAAAUAAGCUCUCUUCCUGCCGCGUCUUUUACAUAGAUUGUUUACUCCUCUUGUGAUCCCAGUUCCCUGCUUCUCCCUCUCCUCCACACUUUUCAAUAAUUAAAUUAUACUCAGCGUUCAGAAUUCAGUCAGGAUAUCCUACCUUCUUUGGUCAGCCCCCCAGGGUUUUCUGAAAGCUGGGAAGAGGCCCUCUUCUGCAAUCCCCAUGCACUGUAGACACAUCCCCUUUAGGUCCCUAUGUUGUGAGUGACUGUUUUCUUGUCUGUCUCUGCCACUAUAUUAUGCACUCUUAGAAGGCAAGGACUACUUCUCUUCAUUGUAUACCUAGAACUUAACCCAAAAACUGGCAUGUGCAUGCACCCAAGUUUUCACUGAGAAAAUAAUUGCAUGAGUCACUUGCUUUCCAGGUCUUUCUGACUACUAUGAUGGUGAUGACUUGUAGUCACAACAUGAAAUUGGUUUCUGCCCCUGAGGAUUGUAUCUCUCUACUUUGCAUGACCCCUAGAUUUCAAUCCCUCUUUAUUCUCUCCUGAUCCUUGGGUUCCAGUAAUUCUCUGGGUUUCAAAUAUAAGCACAGUGUGAGGAGCUCUUCAUUCUUGACAGAACUUUCAGGCAAGAAAGAAAUAGAUUCCUGGGAAUAUCUAUAUUCCCUCUGGCCCUAUUCCUUACUCCCAAAACAUAAUAACCCUUUUCUUAGGUUUUUUCUCUCUACCUUUUUACUUCUUCCUUAUUCUCACGAUUACAUGAAUUAACUGCCUACAGAGUAUGAAUUCAGACUGAAUUAAUAUGUAUUUAUGUGACAUAAAAGAUCUCUUUCAGUACUUCUUAAUCUUACCAAAUGAUGCAUACUAUACAAUAAAAAAUUGCAAUUUUUUCAUUAGCUUUUUUUUUUUUUUUUGGUUUCUGGUAGGGUUUUCCUUUAGUGGUAUUUUAGCAAGUAAUACAAUCCAGUUAUUUUUAAAAGUAUAUUAGUAGAAACUCACCAGAAGUCAAUAUACUGGUCCAAGAAUAAUUAACUGAUUGACUUUAUUGUUUAUGAAACUUUGUAAUGUUCCUUUUGAUGUGAAUGCUUAUCUUAGGGGGAAAUGCACUUUUCAAAUAUAAAUGAUCAUGUUUAAACAAACUGCUUCUAGUUUCAAAUAUGGCACUGAAAAACAAAAUAAAAUAAACACUCAAUUUUUAUUUAAAAUGGUGGGCAAUUUACUUUCUUUUUUGUUUGGGAUCUGAUUCAAGAGCCUCAAUUCAGCUUAUUGCAGAACUAACUAAACUAAACCUCAAAGGAAAAAUUUUAAAAAUGAUUUUUAUAGCAAUGACAUCAUUAUAUAAAAUGUUGGCAUUUCAUAUUUUCCAAACAGAAACUUGGAAAUAACAGAAUACAAGUUAAAUAAAACAAAUUGAAACUAAUCCAAUUCUCUGUUUUUCUUUCCCUUUUUAAAAACCAAGCUUUUUAUUGCCAGCUUUUACUUUGCAUAAUAAUAUAUGAUGAAUUGUCCAAGAAAGACCCAGUGGGUACAUUUCUCUUAGAAAUAAGCCUCUCUAUGCAAUAGGAGGCCAAGUUCUAGGGCAACAUACUUAUAUAAUCAUGUAAGAUUUUCCUUAUUGCUAACAAUUGACCAACCUGGGCAUUUGUCAAAUAUGUAAACACAUGGAGGUCACUGGUCACCAGAGGAUUGAAAACACAAAUCACUCUAUUCAUAUCCAUCCCUAGUUCUAGAAAAACAAUACCAAAUUAAAGCAUAUAUCCUACUAGCAAUAGGACUAGCAAAAUUAUUUUGGUAUACCAGAGCUACAUGUUAUACAUUUUGCUACUUAUGGAUUUAAUUACUCAGGAUAAUUAUACACAUGGCUACAACUGUAAACUUUAUAAUAUUUUGCUGGCAUACCUUCCAAAAGAGUUUGAAAAGCUAUGAAUUUAAUUCUAUAUUUGCAUUUGACAUAUAAAGUAC
RNAcentral lists this long non-coding RNA (18828 nucleotides) under Homo sapiens (human). RNAcentral's name for it is "HSALNT0022111". The record is from RNAcentral. Lineage: Eukaryota; Metazoa; Chordata; Mammalia; Primates; Hominidae.